AGCAACUAUUCAAACGAGAGCUUUGAAGGCCGAAGUGGAGCAGGGUUCCAUGUGAACAGCAGUUGAACAUGGGUCAGUCGGUCCUAAGCGAUAGGCGAGCGCCGUUCGGAAAGGGCGGGCGAUGGCCUCCGUUGCCCUCGGCCGAUCGAAAGGGAGUCGGGUUCAGAUCCCCGAAUCCGGAGUGGCGGAGACGGGCGCCGCGAGGCGCCCAGUGCGGUGACGCAACCG
RNAcentral lists this non-coding RNA (228 nucleotides) under Gavia stellata (red-throated loon). RNAcentral describes it as "Eukaryotic large subunit ribosomal RNA". It matches the Rfam family "Eukaryotic large subunit ribosomal RNA", at positions 1462 to 1673 of the family's 3401-position model. The record is from Rfam by way of RNAcentral. Lineage: Eukaryota; Metazoa; Chordata; Aves; Gaviiformes; Gaviidae.